GGGGACGGCGGCGCCCCGGGACCCGGCGAGCAACUCCCGGGCCCCCUCUCUUCAAAAUGAGCUCUUCCAGCUCCACAUGACUCUCUCCCCUCCGGGCUAAAGAAAGCGUUUAGCAACAAAAGGUGCUCUGAUGUCCGGCUCUUGGCAUGGAAAUGAGCCGCGGACACAACAAAUCGCCUGUUGAAAGAGCAGCCGCGCCGCGGCCUCGAGCCCGCUCUGACAACCCUAGCUAUAAAGGAAGCAUUCUGGUUCUUAUUCUCAUCUUAAAAUGUUGCUCCAAUCACCCUGGGCUGCUUAAUGCAUAGCCUAACUCUCUGGGAGCGCCAUGACUUCAGUGGAAGGAAGCUGUCUUAUCAUCGUCUUCCCGCAGGAAGAUAAACAAAUCAAGGAGGAAAAUGUGACUCUCCACAGCACCCCUGCUAUGCAGGCCCCAGGGUCACCGGCUCCCCAGGGCAAGGCACACCGUGGCCCAGUUUUCCUCUCUGUGCGGAAGGAAGAGCAUUUCACAGUGCAGAUGCUCAUUAGGAUACCUUUCCAGAAGUUUCUUCCCACUUCUGGAGGAUGAGUCUGUCGUGUGGAAAUACCAGCAAUGUAAAGAAUGCAGCAACAAAGAGAUCGUCUGCCCGGAAGACCUUGCUCCCCGCAGGCUGGCCCCACGAGGGAGACAAAUCGUCCACAGCUGCAGACCUCGCUCUCUGGCCUUUGCCUUCACAGGCUCAAAAACUGCACCUUCUGUAUUUGCUGCAUUCCCCAAGCACUCCAAGCAUGGCAAGCUACAGCGCAGAGGAGCGCAUUCUUCACGCUUGGUAUCCUCCUGCUAUCUCCCCAUUCAACGCUCUGUGUUAGGAAGACUUGCCUCUCCUUCUCCCUGUCCUCACUUCCUAGCUGACACUGGGCGGGGACUACAUAUAUGUGACGCUGAAUGGAUAGAAUGGGAGAGUGACCACAGUUCACAGCAUGCUGCCUUUAGAGCCAGACAACAUUUUAAAACAAUUCUGGUUAGCUAAGUUACUCAACCCUACUGAGCCUUAGUUUUUUCAUCCGCAAAAUGGACUUAUGAAUACUGUGUAGUCCACAGUUAUGUAUGACAGAGGUGUAAAAAGUGUCCAAGGGCUUCACAGCGCUAAGUAAAUGUUACUAUUUUUUUUUUUUUU
Molecule: long non-coding RNA, 1154 nt
Organism: Cavia porcellus (domestic guinea pig)
Lineage: Eukaryota; Metazoa; Chordata; Mammalia; Rodentia; Caviidae
Exons: 2
Source: RefSeq, a predicted model, not a curated record